UGCCUGGAGCCUCUGGAGAGAGACAAAAGGCACAGAAACUAAAGGGAGCCAGGUGCCCGGAAAAGGAUGGACAGACAGAGGAUGGACAGACGGGCCGAGAGCCAGGUGUUCACGCAGGAUCUGGGUACUGAGCGUGUGGACAUCUCCAGAGAGAUGAGUUCAGAGGAAAACCGUGGUGACCCUACCAAACCUGGCCAAAAUGUUGAAUGAAGUAUGUCAAAAAGUCAGCUGAAGGCAGGAGAUUUAUCGAACCUGAAUACUUCAUAAAGAGCUGCAUAAAAAUCUAGC
This is a long non-coding RNA of Eubalaena glacialis (North Atlantic right whale), 288 nucleotides long. RefSeq lists it as uncharacterized. Lineage: Eukaryota; Metazoa; Chordata; Mammalia; Artiodactyla; Balaenidae. The transcript is spliced from 3 exons. The record is from RefSeq and is a predicted model, not a curated record.